RNAcentral lists this ribosomal RNA (433 nucleotides) under uncultured bacterium. RNAcentral describes it as "partial 16S ribosomal RNA". It matches the Rfam family "Bacterial small subunit ribosomal RNA", at positions 29 to 507 of the family's 1533-position model. The record is from RNAcentral.
AGCGAACGCUGGCGGCAGGCCUAACACAUGCAAGUCGAACGAACUCUUCGGAGUUAGUGGCGGACGGGUGAGUAACACGUGGGAACGUGCCUUUUGGUUCGGAAUAACUCAGGGAAACUUGUGCUAAUACCGAAUGUGCCCUUCGGGUGAAAGAUUUAUCGCCAUUAGAGCGGCCCGCGUCUGAUUAGCUUGUUGGUGAUGUAACGGCUCACCAAGGCGACGAUCAGUAGCUGGUCUGAGAGGAUGACCAGCCACACUGGGACUGAGACACGGCCCAGACUACUACGGGAGGCAGGAGUGGGGAAUCUUGCGCAAUGGGCGAAAGCCUGAAGCAGCCAUGCCGCGUGAAUGAUGAAGGUCUUAGGAUUGUAAAAUUCUUUCACCGGGGACGAUAAUGACGGUACCCAGAGAAGAAGCCCCGGCUAACUUCGUG